AACGAACGCUGGCGGCAUGCCUAACACAUGCAAGUCGAACGAGACCUUCGGGUCUAGUGGCGCACGGGUGCGUAACGCGUGGGAACCUGCCCUUAGGUUCGGAAUAACUCCCCGAAAGGGGUGCUAAUACCGGAUAAUGUCUUCGGCCCAAAGAUUUAUCGCCUUUGGAUGGGCCCGCGUUGGAUUAGCUAGUUGGUAGGGUAAAAGCCUACCAAGGCGACGAUCCAUAGCUGGUCUGAGAGGAUGAUCAGCCACACUGGGACUGAGACACGGCCCAGACUCCUACGGGAGGCAGCAGUGGGGAAUAUUGGACAAUGGGCGAAAGCCUGAUCCAGCAAUGCCGCGUGAGUGAUGAAGGCCUUAGGGUUGUAAAGCUCUUUUAACCGGGAUGAUAAUGACAGUACCGGGAGAAUAAGCGCCGGCUAACUACGUG
RNAcentral lists this ribosomal RNA (433 nucleotides) under uncultured bacterium. Its description in RNAcentral is "partial 16S ribosomal RNA". It matches the Rfam family "Bacterial small subunit ribosomal RNA", at positions 29 to 507 of the family's 1533-position model. The record is from RNAcentral.